Molecule: unclassified non-coding RNA, 335 nt
Filed under: soil metagenome
Description: partial contains 5.8S ribosomal RNA, internal transcribed spacer 2, and large subunit ribosomal RNA
Rfam family: 5.8S ribosomal RNA (bases 1-120)
Source: RNAcentral
GAUGAAGAACGCAGCGAAAUGCGAUAAGUAAUGUGAAUUGCAGAAUUCAGUGAAUCAUCGAAUCUUUGAACGCACAUUGCGCCCGCCAGUAUUCUAGCGGGCAUGCCUGUUCGAGCGUCAUUUCAACCAUCAAGCCCCCGGGCUUGUGUUGGGGACCUGCGGCUGCCGCAGGCCCUGAAAACCAGUGGCGGGCUCGCUAGUCACUCCGAGCGUAGUAGUUACAUCUCGCUCAGGGCGUGCUGCGGGUUCCGGCCGUUAAAAGCCUUUUACCCCAAGGUUGACCUCGGAUCAGGUAGGAAGACCCGCUGAACUUAAGCAUAUCAAUAAGCGGAGGA